UACGUAGGGCGCAAGCGUUGUCCGGAAUUAUUGGGCGUAAAGAGCUCGUAGGCGGUUUGUCGCGUCUGCUGUGAAAACCUAAGGCUCAACCUUGGGCUUGCAGUGGGUACGGGCAGACUAGAGUGCGGUAGGGGUGACUGGAAUUCCUGGUGUAGCGGUGGAAUGCGCAGAUAUCAGGAGGAACACCGAUGGCGAAGGCAGGUCGCUGGGACGUUACUGACACUGAGGCGCGAAAGCGUGGGGAGCGAACAGG
RNAcentral lists this ribosomal RNA (253 nucleotides) under uncultured bacterium. Its description in RNAcentral is "partial 16S ribosomal RNA". It matches the Rfam family "Bacterial small subunit ribosomal RNA", at positions 524 to 776 of the family's 1533-position model. The record is from RNAcentral.